GUAAAUGGGUGACAGGAGGCAGGGUGAGGACGUAGGUGGAAGUGUGUGUAGGUGAGUAUUGGGCGUAAAGCGCGCGCAGUGGGUGUGUUAAGUCUGAGGAGAAAGACCACGGCUCAACCGUGGGGGGGCAUUGGAAACUGGAAAACUUGAGGACAGAAGAGGAAAGUGGAAUGCCAUGUGUAGCGGUGAAAUGCGCAGAGAUAUGGAGGAACACCAGUGGCGAAGGCGACUUUCUGGUCUGUAACUGACGCUGAUGUGCGAAAGCGUGGGGAUCAAACAGGAUUAGAUACCCCAGUAGUC
RNAcentral lists this ribosomal RNA (300 nucleotides) under uncultured Lactobacillus sp. RNAcentral's name for it is "bacterial SSU rRNA". The stretch from base 57 to 300 matches the Rfam family "Bacterial small subunit ribosomal RNA", at positions 552 to 795 of the family's 1533-position model. The record is from RNAcentral. Lineage: Bacteria; Bacillati; Bacillota; Bacilli; Lactobacillales; Lactobacillaceae.